GCCAGACUCCUACGGGAGGCAGCAGUGGGGAAUAUUGCACAAUGGGGGAAACCCUGAUGCAGCAACGCCGCGUGAAGGAAGACGGUUUUCGGAUUGUAAACUUCUGUUCUUAGUGAAGAAGAAUGACGGUAGCUAAGGAGCAAGCCACGGCUAACUACGUGCCAGCAGCCGCGGUAAUACGUAGGUGGCAAGCGUUGUCCGGAUUUACUGGGUGUAAAGGGCGUGCAGCCGGAGAGACAAGUCAGAUGUGAAAUCCACGGGCUCAACCCGUGAACUGCAUUUGAAACUGUUUCCCUUGAGUGUCGGAGAGGUAAUCGGAAUUCCUUGUGUAGCGGUGAAAUGCGUAGAUAUAAGGAAGAACACCAGUGGCGAAGGCGGAUUACUGGACGAUAACUGACGGUGAGGCGCGAAAGCGUGGGGAGCAAACAGGAUUAGAUACCCCUGUAAAG
This 449-nucleotide ribosomal RNA is filed under the name uncultured bacterium. RNAcentral's name for it is "bacterial SSU rRNA". It matches the Rfam family "Bacterial small subunit ribosomal RNA", at positions 330 to 793 of the family's 1533-position model. The record is from RNAcentral.